CAGCAGCCGCGGGAAUACGAAGGGUGCAAGCGUUACUCGGAAUUACUGGGCGUAAAGCGUGCGUAGGUGGUGGUUUAAGUCCGUUGUGAAAGCCCUGGGCUCAACCUGGGAAUUGCAGUGGAUACUGGAUCACUAGAGUGUGGUAGAGGAUAGUGGAAUUUCCGGUGUAGCAGUGAAAUGCGUAGAGAUCGGAAGGAACAACUGUGGCGAAGGCGACUAUCUGGGCCAACACUGACACUGAGGCACGAAAGCGUGGGGAGCAAACAGGAUUAGAUACCCCGGUAGUCCCUGUCUCUUAUAC
RNAcentral lists this ribosomal RNA (301 nucleotides) under uncultured bacterium. RNAcentral describes it as "partial 16S ribosomal RNA". It matches the Rfam family "Bacterial small subunit ribosomal RNA", at positions 509 to 807 of the family's 1533-position model. The record is from RNAcentral.